This 563-nucleotide unclassified non-coding RNA is filed under the name Hevea brasiliensis (rubber tree). The record is from RNAcentral. Lineage: Eukaryota; Viridiplantae; Streptophyta; Magnoliopsida; Malpighiales; Euphorbiaceae.
UAUUACGAGACGGACAUUUUGCAAACGAAGACACUAAAAACUGUGAGAUAUCCCUUUCAACUGUCCUACAACAAUGUCACUAUGGGAUAUCCCAGCCUUGUGUUCUUCUACAUCAUUAGUUUUCCAGAAAAUAUAAUUAUGAGACAACUGAGAAUGCCAAAAGGGAGGAAUAGGAAAUGUCAAAAUAAACAUCUAUACCCUCUAUAUACGUCCACCCAAAAUCAUUUGUGUUACCUAAAAUUACAAUGGAAUUAACGUUUUCAGCCACCUAAACCUUGCUUAAAUAAAAUAUGGUGUUGCUUGCCGCGUUUGGAGGGCAAAAGAUAUAUUACCACCGAGACAUCACUGCAUUAACUGUUAGCUGCCAUCUUCUGAUGAUCCUAGUGCCUGCUUCUUCGCGGGAUUUUACAUGCUCCAUCCAUGGUAUGAUCAGUCAUUUAGAAGACUAGUUGUAGAUCCGAACAGGCUUGUCAAAAGUGGGUCGAUUCUGGUUGGAAGCAUAUGACCUUUUAGGACCAUUGUCAGCAUGCUCUAAUCCCAGAUACUGCUCCCAAGCACCAUAA